This 780-nucleotide ribosomal RNA is filed under the name Hebeloma crustuliniforme. RNAcentral describes it as "LSU rRNA". It matches the Rfam family "Eukaryotic large subunit ribosomal RNA", at positions 38 to 802 of the family's 3401-position model. Lineage: Eukaryota; Fungi; Basidiomycota; Agaricomycetes; Agaricales; Hymenogastraceae. The record is from RNAcentral.
GCAUAUCAAUAAGCGGAGGAAAAGAAACUAACAAGGAUUCCCCUAGUAACUGCGAGUGAAGCGGGAAAAGCUCAAAUUUAAAAUCUGGCGGUCUCCGGCCGUCCGAGUUGUAAUCUAGAGAAGUGUUAUCCGCGCUGGACCGUGUACAAGUCUCCUGGAAUGGAGCGUCAUAGAGGGUGAGAAUCCCGUCUUUGACACGGACUGCCAGGGCUUUGUGAUGCGCUCUCAAAGAGUCGAGUUGUUUGGGAAUGCAGCUCAAAAUGGGUGGUAAAUUCCAUCUAAAGCUAAAUAUUGGCGAGAGACCGAUAGCGAACAAGUACCGUGAGGGAAAGAUGAAAAGAACUUUGGAAAGAGAGUUAAACAGUACGUGAAAUUGCUGAAAGGGAAACGCUUGAAGUCAGUCGCGUUGGCCGGGGAUCAACCUUGCUUUUGCUGGGCGUACUUUCCGGUUGACGGGUCAGCAUCAAUUUUGACCGUUGGAUAAAGUCCAGGGGAAUGUGGCAUCUUCGGAUGUGUUAUAGCCCUUGGUCGCAUACAACGGUUGGGAUUGAGGAACUCAGCACGCCGCAAGGCCGGGUACUUGUACCACGUUCGUGCUUAGGAUGCUGGCAUAAUGGCUUUAAUCGACCCGUCUUGAAACACGGACCAAGGAGUCUAACAUGCCUGCGAGUGUUUGGGUGGAAAACUCGGACGCGUAAUGAAAGUGAAAGUUGAGAUCCCUGUCGCGGGGAGCAUCGACGCCCGGACCAGACCUUUUGUGACGGAUCCCGCGGUAGAGCA